UGCGUUUGUAAGGGUGAGUGUAUGCACGUGUAUAUGAGUGCUUACGUCUGUAUUGUGUUAAAAAACGAAUGAAAGCCAAAAUAUUUCAUCUGGACUAAAAUUAGCAAUUCCGAAUAUUUAUAUAUAUCACAUCUACUAUGUUACACACACAUCUUGUACUAUGCAUCACAAACACACAUGGUUUACACAUUAAUGAGAUCGGGUAGAAGAGAAAUCAAAAGACAAAAAA
RNAcentral lists this long non-coding RNA (229 nucleotides) under Hordeum vulgare. Its description in RNAcentral is "long non-coding RNA (HVUL_LNC020736)". Lineage: Eukaryota; Viridiplantae; Streptophyta; Magnoliopsida; Poales; Poaceae. The record is from RNAcentral.